AAGGAAUAUUGGUCAAUGGACGCAAGUCUGAACCAGCCAUGCCGCGUGAAGGAUGAAGGUCCUCUGGAUUGUAGACUUCUUUUAUCUGGGACGAAAACGGGAUUUUUAUCUCAAUUGACGGUACCAGAGGAAUAAGCACCGGCUAACUCCGUGCCAGCAGCCGCGGUAAUACGGAGGGUGCGAGCGUUAUCCGGAUUUACUAGGUUUAAAGGGUGCGUAGGUGGGCUUAUAAGUCAGUGGUGAAAUCUCUGAGCUUAACUUGGAAACUGCCGUUGAUACUAUAGGUCUUGAAUUAUCUGGAGGUAAGCGGAAUAUGUCAUGUAGCGGUGAAAUGCUUAGAUAUGACAUAGAACACCAAUUGCGAAGGCAGCUUACUACAUAUAAAUUGACGCUGAGGCACGAAAGCGUGGGGAUCAAACA
Molecule: ribosomal RNA, 420 nt
Filed under: uncultured bacterium
Lineage: Bacteria
Description: bacterial SSU rRNA
Rfam family: Bacterial small subunit ribosomal RNA
Source: RNAcentral